GAUGAACGCUGGCGGCGUGCCUAAUACAUGCAAGUCGAGCGCCCCUUCAUAGUACUGAUGAGUAAUCAUAAGUCCUGUGAUGGGGAGCGGCGGACGGGUGAGUAACGCGUGGGAACAUACCCCAGACUGAGGGAUAAGCACCAGAAAUGGUGUCUAAUACCGCAUAACCUCUACGGAGAAAAGCUUCGGCGGUUGGGGAAUGGCCUGCGUAAGAUUAGCUAGUUGGUAGGGUAAAGGCCUACCAAGGCGAUGAUCUUUAGCUGGUUUGAGAGGAUGAUCAGCCACACUGGAACUGAGACACGGUCCAGACUCCUACGGGAGGCAGCAGUGGGGAAUCUUGGACAAUGGGCGCAAGCCUGAUCCAGCAAUGCCGCGUGGGUGAAGAAGGCCUUCGGGUUGUAAAGCCCUUUUGUUUGGGAGCAAAUCCUUGGUGUUAAUACCGCCUGGGGAUGAGAGUACCAAAAGAAUCAGCACCGGCUAACUACGUGCCAGCAGCCGCCGUAA
Molecule: ribosomal RNA, 504 nt
Filed under: uncultured bacterium
Lineage: Bacteria
Description: partial 16S ribosomal RNA
Rfam family: Bacterial small subunit ribosomal RNA
Source: RNAcentral